RNAcentral lists this ribosomal RNA (1372 nucleotides) under uncultured bacterium. Its description in RNAcentral is "bacterial SSU rRNA". It matches the Rfam family "Bacterial small subunit ribosomal RNA", at positions 28 to 1381 of the family's 1533-position model. The record is from RNAcentral.
GAUGAACGCUGGCGGCGUGCCUAAUACAUGCAAGUCGAGCGAACGGACGAGAAGCUUGCUUCUCUGAUGUUAGCGGCGGACGGGUGAGUAACACGUGGAUAACCUACCUAUAAGACUGGGAUAACUUCGGGAAACCGGAGCUAAUACCGGAUAAUAUUUUGAACCGCAUGGUUCAAAAGUAAAAGACGGUCUUGCUGUCACUUAUAGAUGGAUCCGCGCUGCAUUAGCUAGUUGGUAAGGUAACGGCUUACCAAGGCAACGAUGCAUAGCCGACCUGAGAGGGUGAUCGGCCACACUGGAACUGAGACACGGUCCAGACUCCUACGGGAGGCAGCAGUAGGGAAUCUUCCGCAAUGGGCGAAAGCCUGACGGAGCAACGCCGCGUGAGUGAUGAAGGUCUUCGGAUCGUAAAACUCUGUUAUUAGGGAAGAACAUAUGUGUAAGUAACUGUGCACAUCUUGACGGUACCUAAUCAGAAAGCCACGGCUAACUACGUGCCAGCAGCCGCGGUAAUACGUAGGUGGCAAGCGUUAUCCGGAAUUAUUGGGCGUAAAGCGCGCGUAGGCGGUUUUUUAAGUCUGAUGUGAAAGCCCACGGCUCAACCGUGGAGGGUCAUUGGAAACUGGAAAACUUGAGUGCAGAAGAGGAAAGUGGAAUUCCAUGUGUAGCGGUGAAAUGCGCAGAGAUAUGGAGGAACACCAGUGGCGAAGGCGACUUUCUGGUCUGUAACUGACGCUGAUGUGCGAAAGCGUGGGGAUCAAACAGGAUUAGAUACCCUGGUAGUCCACGCCGUAAACGAUGAGUGCUAAGUGUUAGGGGGUUUCCGCCCCUUAGUGCUGCAGCUAACGCAUUAAGCACUCCGCCUGGGGAGUACGACCGCAAGGUUGAAACUCAAAGGAAUUGACGGGGACCCGCACAAGCGGUGGAGCAUGUGGUUUAAUUCGAAGCAACGCGAAGAACCUUACCAAAUCUUGACAUCCUUUGACAACUCUAGAGAUAGAGCCUUCCCCUUCGGGGGACAAAGUGACAGGUGGUGCAUGGUUGUCGUCAGCUCGUGCCGUGAGAUGUUGGGUUAAGUCCCGCAACGAGCGCAACCCUUAAGCUUAGUUGCCAUCAUUAAGUUGGGCACUCUAAGUUGACUGCCGGUGACAAACCGGAGGAAGGUGGGGAUGACGUCAAAUCAUCAUGCCCCUUAUGAUUUGGGCUACACACGUGCUACAAUGGACAAUACAAAGGGCAGCGAAACCGCGAGGUCAAGCAAAUCCCAUAAAGUUGUUCUCAGUUCGGAUUGUAGUCUGCAACUCGACUACAUGAAGCUGGAAUCGCUAGUAAUCGUAGAUCAGCAUGCUACGGUGAAUACGUUCCCGGGUCU